Molecule: long non-coding RNA, 873 nt
Organism: Carassius gibelio (silver crucian carp)
Lineage: Eukaryota; Metazoa; Chordata; Actinopteri; Cypriniformes; Cyprinidae
Exons: 5
Source: RefSeq, a predicted model, not a curated record
UAGUAAAAUCAUGGUAACCAUGACACCUACAAAAGUAGGUAAAACCCAGUAAACAAGACAUUUACCAUGUUUUUUUUUUUGUUUUUGUUUUUUACCACAGUAACUGUAGCUUUACUGUAGUAUAGUAAUGGCACAUUAAUCACCAAAUUAACUAUAGUUGUACCACUGUAAUGGUAGUGUUUUAAUGUGCUUUUAUAUGACUUAUUUCACAGUAAUCACAUUUACUGUACCAUGCUUGUAAUACCUUUUUAAUGUAAAAAAAAAAAAAAAAAAAAAAACAUUUUUCCCAUCUUGCAGUUCAAUUCAUAUUUGUUUAUAUCUUAAAUAUUUUGCUCACAGAUCACUAUUAACAUUCUGUAUAUAAUUCUGUUUUAUUUUCUUUCCCCUUGUAUUAAUCUUUUAGUUGAAAAGACGUAAAGUAAGCAGUCACCCCAGUGGUGUUUGUGGAGAGGUAUUCCUUCAGAAAUGGAGAAGACAGAAAGCUGCAGAGGCAGGAUUGUUUGCAGAUAAUGCUGUUCUUCUUUUUCAGAAGUUUUUGGGGAGCCAACCCUCACAAACCUUCCUAAAAACUAAAAGAGCUAUUACUGAGUCUCAGCGACUCUUGCCACGAUCAGCUCUUCCCAGAAGAGAAGGAAGACCAAGGAAAUGAUUUGCUCAGGAUGAGAAAUGAAGAUGGUCAUCUUGUGCUCAAGCAAACAGAAGUCCUCUGAUGAUCUCAUCAACCAAAUGAGGGGUUUUGACCAAGUGAUGCUCUUGAAAGGAGUGAAAGAAGAGGAUGUGGUAAAUUGUCUUCAGAGAAAAAGCUUCUCAAAAGAUCUUAAAACAGCUUGAAGAAUGGUCUGGGAUCUUAGGACUGGGAGAUCUCACUUGCAC